This is an RNA transcript of Quercus lobata, 1849 nucleotides long. It is a transcript of the gene named inositol-tetrakisphosphate 1-kinase 1-like, with no coding region annotated. Lineage: Eukaryota; Viridiplantae; Streptophyta; Magnoliopsida; Fagales; Fagaceae. The record is from RefSeq and is a predicted model, not a curated record. The transcript is spliced from 2 exons.
AUUAAUCAUAUGCCAUAAUGCAUGUAAGCCGGAAAUGUGUCACUUCAGUUUUUUGCCAUCUAUCUCAGCAUGCAGAAACUGCAGCGACCUCAAGUAAUGCAAUGCAGCAAAUCCUUGUCCGUCAAUUGAUACCUUGAGUCACAGCAGCACGUAUGCGGGACCCGAUAACACCUUUCGGCUGCACCUCAGCAUCGCGUUCAUUCUCCGCGAUAACAACUUUCUGUCACAGAUAUCCACAUCAAAUCAAAACUCAAAUCACUGUCUGCCGUUCAUUCUCAAAAACACUGAAAACGAAUUGAAUUUUCCCUCUCUUACUUUCUCUCCUCCCAAACACAAAUUAAGUAAAAAAAAUGUCUUCUCCGAUGUACCGCAUAGGCUACGCUCUUUCCCCCAAGGAUGGGCAACGCUUCAUCCAAAACUCUUUAAUCGAUCAAGCCAAACAACGCGGCAUCGAUCUCAUCGAAAUCGACCCCACCAAACCCUUAGCUCAACAGGGACCGUUCGAUUGCAUCAUCCACAAAAUCUACGGCUCCGAUUGGAACAACCAAGUGCAGCAACUCUCUCUCCAUCACCCAAACGUCGUCGUGAUCGACCCGCCGGAAGCAAUCGACCAUCUCCACAGCCGUGCCUCCAUGCUCGAUGUGGUGACCAGUUUGAAAAUCCCUCAAGGGAACCAAACCCUCGGGGUUCCAAAUCAGAGAGUAUUGGAAGAGUCGGAGAAUCUUGUGGAUUCGAUUGACGAAAUAGGGUUCAAGUUUCCGUUCAUAGCGAAACAGGUGUCGGUCGACGGCAGUGCCAAGUCACACGAGAUGUUCUUGGUGUUCAACGAGAACGGGUUGAAGAAACUGAAACUGAAAAAACCAUUUGUGAUGCAAGAAUUUGUGAACCACGGCGGAGUGAUUUUCAAGGUGUAUGCGGUGGGAGAUCACGUGAAAUGCGUGAAGAGAAAAUCGUUGCCGGAUAUAUCUGAAGGGACACUGAAUAAUAUGGCGCCGGAGGAGGGUUUGUUGUUGUUUAAGCAGAUAUCGAAUUUGAUUGCGAAAAGUGAUUCUUCUUCUGAGGUGGAGGGAUAUAUUUCUGGAGUGGAGAAGCUUGUGGAGGAGGCGGAAAUGCCGCCUUCGGAGUUUGUGACGGCGUUAGCCAAUGGGUUGAGGGAGGCAAUGGGGCUUAGGCUUUUUAACUUUGAUUUGAUUAGGGAUAGUAGAGAUGGGAAUAGCUACUUUGUUAUCGAUAUCAAUUACUUUCCUGGGUUCGCUAAGAUGCCCGAGUAUGAGUCUGUUUUUGUGGACUUUUUUUGUGAUGUUGUGGAAGAGAAGAGGAGGAAUGUGGAAUUGGAGGCGAAGGAUAAUUAAGAGGUGAGAGGUGGCGAGAUUGAAGAGAGCAAAGGUGACGCGGUUGGGUUAAUCAUUGAUGGUUUACUGAGCUGGAUGGAUCGAGUUCUUGACUCUCAGAGUACCUUUUUGGCGAAUUCCAUAUAUUGUUUAGGCACCUAUCAGAUAGCCCUAAUUCAAAAGCGCUUAUUCAAGGGAUAAGUUUUUCCAAUAAUGUGGGGCAUGUACCUUCAUGACAAAUUUAUAAGGAUUCUGCUAUUUCAAAGUCAAGAAAUUGUAGAUCUUUGCAACGAUGUGGUGACUCUAGGCAACAAAGCAUUCUUGUAGUUCUACUCUUUGGUGUUUUUGUAGAUUUUGAGUUAUGACAACAAAGUAUUCCUGUAACCUUAUAACUUAUAAGACGUUUGAAUCUUAAGUACUCGAUUAAUUGUAGGAUACUCGAAAAGCAUAUGCAAUGCCACUGAGCAUCAUCUCAGUGGUGUUACCUAUUGAAGUAUCUAGGUUCUAGACGGAGGAGA